RNAcentral lists this ribosomal RNA (279 nucleotides) under uncultured bacterium. Its description in RNAcentral is "partial 16S ribosomal RNA". It matches the Rfam family "Bacterial small subunit ribosomal RNA", at positions 506 to 784 of the family's 1533-position model. The record is from RNAcentral.
UGCCAGCAGCCGCGGUAACACGGGGGGCGCAAGCGUUAUUCGGAAUUAUUGGGCGUAAAGGGCGCGCAGGCGGUUCGUUAAGUCUGAUGUGAAAGCCCGGGGCUCAACCCCGGAAGUGCAUUGGAAACUGGCGAACUUGAGUACGGGAGAGGAAAGUGGAAUUCCGAGUGUAGGGGUGAAAUCCGUAGAUAUUCGGAGGAACACCAGUGGCGAAGGCGGCUGCCUGGCUCAAUACUGACACUGAGGUGCGAAAGUGUGGGGAGCAAACAGGAUUAGAUA